Molecule: non-coding RNA, 135 nt
Filed under: Candidatus Daviesiibacteriota
Lineage: Bacteria
Source: RNAcentral
AAGCUAUGCUGGGGAUGUGGUAUCUCGUCCCGUACAGUCUGGUACAGGACAAGAGAUGAAAAGGGAAUCCCGAGAAUUUCGGGAACUGUGCCGCAACUGUAAAGUCAGGAGACCGACCACAUUUUUCAUUUCCCG